Molecule: ribosomal RNA, 322 nt
Filed under: uncultured soil bacterium
Lineage: Bacteria
Description: bacterial SSU rRNA
Rfam family: Bacterial small subunit ribosomal RNA
Source: RNAcentral
AGAUUGAACGCUGGCGGCAUGCCUAACACAUGCAAGUCGAACGGGAGUAGCAAUACUCUAGUGGCGGACGGGUGAGGAAUACGUAGGAAUUUGCCCUUAAGUGGGGGAUAACCCGGGGAAACCCGGAUUAAUACCGCAUGACCUCGAAAGAGCAAAGUGGGGGAUCGCAAGACCUCACGCUUUUGGAGAAGCCUACGUCGGAUUAGCUAGUUGGUGAGGUAAUGGCUCACCAAGGCGACGAUCCGUAACUGGUCUGAGAGGAUGAUCAGUCACACCGGAACUGAGACACGGUCCGGACUCCGUACGGGAGGCAGCAGUGGGG